This 1193-nucleotide small RNA is filed under the name Histoplasma capsulatum var. duboisii H88. Its description in RNAcentral is "Histoplasma capsulatum H88 hypothetical RNA". Lineage: Eukaryota; Fungi; Ascomycota; Eurotiomycetes; Onygenales; Ajellomycetaceae. The record is from RNAcentral.
CUGCGUCUACCAAUAUUUCCAGACCUCGACCCGGGCCUCUCAGGUUGAUCAGGAGGAGUUCGUUCCCGACGACGGCGGCGGUUAGUCGGGCGGGAUCCAAGCUGAACAGUCUCACUACGAUCGGUAUGUAAACCUAAGCCUGGAAGCCUCGAGGGUAAUUCGUUGCUUUGAAGGGAUUGAGGAAUAUUCUCGUGAGUGAUCUGGGCACUAGAUGGGGUCGAGGAAUGGUGUGUGACGGAGCCAGUAGGAAUCGGAAUGCUCGUAGAAGGUACGGAUUCGAUGCUCGUAGAAAGGUUGGAGGGGCCGGAAGCGGCUGAGGCGGGAGUAUGUGAAGGAGAUUCGUCUGCCAGAUCGAUGUUUGCUACUUAGCCCUCUCAGCCUGGCUCUAUACAGAACCAGCUGAAUAGGCCUCUCUGGUCAAAGGAAGCGUAAAGCGCUGUGCAGCCAGAUUCGAAGCUCUGGAGCUGGCUAAACGCCGCGAGCUUUUCUGAACUUUGGAUUCGUGAUGAUGCUAGAUUCGCAGUGCCUGAUAAGCUGGUAUGCUUGAUUGGCUUGCCUUGGGAGGGUUGGGCAUGAGCUUCUUACGUCUGCAAAAAUGCAGUUGAUGUUGAGAAGAACGAUAAAUGAUCGGAGGAACCAGGAUGAGGUAAUAAUAGUUUGGGCGAACCAGAAAUUUGGGGAGGAACCCUGGGGCAGCAACAACACCUGAAUUGCAACCUUGAGAACGUUAUGGUAAGGGUGAGAUACGGUCGAUGGCUAGGAGGUUGACAAAACUGGGGCCAACUAGAAUAUUGCUUUGCUGUCGUCGUCGUCUUCGUGGGGCGUGGAAAGCGAGGAACCAAGACUGCAGAGUGACCAGCGGUUGCUAACUGGCUUGGUCAGUAUCAAACUGGAAUUCCAUCAAUCGUUAAUUUGACGGAACAACCUGGACAGAAGCGACUCAUAAGAACCAGAGAUGGAUUUUCUGCUGGAGAAUAGUCACAGUUACAGACUGGAGAAUCAAGAUCCAGAAACGCAGCAGAUGCAGCUGGAACAAUUAUUAAUAGUUGAGUGUGAGUUUUUUGCACAUGAUGAGCUGUAUUAUAACUGUACGGAGGGUGCUUAUACUUGUGUAUUGGCCAACUCAAUGGCAGUUUCAUCGAAGUGCUUGUACUGUACUGUACCAUACGCAGCACUCAGUCGAUCCUUAUCAG